RNAcentral lists this ribosomal RNA (1590 nucleotides) under Triticum aestivum (bread wheat). RNAcentral's name for it is "partial small subunit ribosomal RNA". The record is from RNAcentral. Lineage: Eukaryota; Viridiplantae; Streptophyta; Magnoliopsida; Poales; Poaceae.
AUGCCAUUCGGACUAACAAACGCCCCCGCAUAUUUUGUUCACCUCAUGAACAAAGUAUUUAUGAAGUUUAUGGACAAGUUUGUUGUGGUAUUUGUCGAUGAUAUUUUGGUAUACUCCAAGACACCAGAAGAGCACGCUGAACAUCUCCGAAUUGUACUAGGGGAACUCAAUAAACAUCAAUUGUACGCUAAAUUCAGUAAGUGUGAAUUUUGGCUAAGGCAAGUAGGUUUUCUGGGCCACGUACUGACCCAAGAAGGUAUUGCCGUAGACCCGGAAAAAGUCAAGGCCGUACUUGGCUGGAAGCCACCAGCCAGCGUAACGGACGUACAAAGUUUCUUGGGAAUGGCAGGAUACUACCGAAGAUUUAUUGAAGGAUUCUCCACCAUAGCAAAGCCAAUGACGCAGCUACUCAAGAAAGACAAGAAGUUUGAAUGGACGGAAGCUUGCGAGAAAAGUUUCCAAGAAUUAAAAAGGAAAUUAACGACAGCACUAGUAUUAAUUGUGCCAGACAUACACAAGAAUUUUGAGGUGUAUUGUGACGCAUCCCGGAAAGGCCUCGGAUGCGUGUUGAUGCAAGAAGGCAAGGUAGUCGCAUAUGUCUCCAGACAACUCCGCAAGCAUGAGGAAAAUUAUCCCACUCAUGACCUAGAGUUAGCAGCAGUUAUUCAUGCACUCAAAGAAUGGAGACACUUUUUACUUGGAAAUCGUUGUGAGAUAUACACGGACCAUAAGAGCCUCAAGUAUGUUUUCACACAACCGGAACUGAAUUUAAGGCAACGACGCUGGUUGGAACUAGUGAAGGAUUAUGACGUUGGAAUCCACUACCACCCAGGAAAAGCAAAUGUAGUGGCAGACGCUCUAAGUCGGAACCCUAGCCCAAACGACGACGGCCUGCCAAACCUGAGACCUAAGUUUCGGCAGGAGUUUGCUAAACUCAACUUGAUGGUAGUCACCGAAGGCAGCAAAUCAAAUUUAGAAAUACAGGCUACCCUGAUGGAAACAAUUAAAGAGGCUCAGCAUGGACACCCCAGCAUUGAAGGCAUUAAACGGAAAGUGAGUUUGGGCAAGGCCCCAGAAUUCGUUAUCGAUAAGCAGGGAAUAUUGUGGUACGGAGAUAGACUUUGCGUACCAAAUAUCAAGGAUCUUAAACAGCAGAUCUUAGCUGAAGGCCACACCGCCCCGUAUUCGAUACAUCCCGGAGGGACAAAAAUGUACAAGGAUAUUCAGGAAAAAUAUUGGUGGCACGGCCUAAAAAGGGACAUAGCCAUGUUCAUCGCAUGUUGUGACUCUUGUCAACGCAUCAAAGCCGAGCACCAGAAACCGGCCGGACUUUUACAGCCAAAUAAAAUACCCGAGUGGAAAUGGGACGAGAUUGGGAUGGAUUUUAUUGUUGGGCUACCUCGGUCACGGCACGGAAAGAAUGCGAUUUGGGUCAUCACUGAUAGACUGACUAAAGUAGCACACUUCAUCCCUGUGAAGACAACCCACACCACUCAGAAGCUUGCUAGGCUUUAUCUUUCCCGUAUCGUCUGCUUACAUGGAGUCCCAAAGAAAAUAAUAUCGGACAGAGCCACUCAAUUCGUCUCCUGA